This is a long non-coding RNA of Neodiprion virginianus, 411 nucleotides long. RefSeq lists it as uncharacterized. The record is from RefSeq and is a predicted model, not a curated record. NCBI's taxonomy places the organism in Eukaryota, Metazoa, Arthropoda, Insecta, Hymenoptera, Diprionidae. The transcript has 2 exons.
UCAGGUUCAAUCUCCGAGAUGAUCUCUAAUUAAGAAGGGGAAAAGAAAGAUCUGAAUUAUGCGAGGUUGCCAAUGACCGUCGGUGAGUGAACUUGGAGCUCGUCGUGUCACCUGCACGCACCUGUUACGUCACAGAAGGGUAUAACCAGAGAUGAGUAAGGAGAUCUCCAACGCUAGGCUUUUCGUGAUACCAGCUAGGUUGGAGCGUCGACGUGACACCUAGGCGGCCACGCACCGAAGGUGGUCCACAAUCGUGUAUAUAUGUAUAGAUAUACUCGGUCGCUCGAACAAGUGGUUGCCAAUCGCAUCCUUGUCCCCGCUCGCACAGAUGUUUCCAGGAAUGCAAGAAUUGGGAUUUUUUUGUUUCAAUUAUGAAUGUCAGCGAAUAAAAGUAUCUCCAGAUUUGAUAAA